Mytilus californianus (California mussel) is the source of this 364-nucleotide long non-coding RNA. RefSeq lists it as uncharacterized. Lineage: Eukaryota; Metazoa; Mollusca; Bivalvia; Mytilida; Mytilidae. The transcript has 2 exons. The record is from RefSeq and is a predicted model, not a curated record.
AUAUGCUAAAUACAAACACUUUUCCAUUGGUGACUCAUCAAGUGAAUACAAAUUGACAGUCAGCGGUUACAGUGGAAACGCAGGUGACAACUUGACCUAUCAUAAUAACAUAAGGUUCAGUACAACGGAUAAUGACAAUGACACGAUUGGAAGUCAAAACUGUGCAGCCACAUAUACAGGAGGUUGGUGGUUUGGUUCCUGUGUUAUUUCUCACCUUAAUGGUCUGUUUAAAGGAAAGGGAGCACAAGGGAUAUCUUGGUACUACUGGAGGAAAUCACAUGACACGCUUCAGACAUCAACAAUGAUGAUACGAAAGAGAAAGUUGUAGAAUUACCUUGCAAUAAAUGAAUAUUUCAUCUUUUUA